Molecule: ribosomal RNA, 403 nt
Filed under: uncultured bacterium
Lineage: Bacteria
Description: partial 16S ribosomal RNA
Rfam family: Bacterial small subunit ribosomal RNA
Source: RNAcentral
GACGAACGCUGGCGGCGUGCCUAAUACAUGCAAGUCGAACGCAGGGGGGACGGGUGAGUAACACGUGGGUAACCUCCCAUCAGAGGGGAUAACACUUGGCAACAGGUGCUAAACCGAUACUGAUGGAUGGACCCGCGGUGCAUUAGCUAGUUGGUGGGGUAACUGCUCACCAAGGCCACGAUGCAGAGCCGACCUUAGAGGGUGACCGGCCACACUGGGACGGAGACACGGCCCAGACUCCUACGGGAGGCAGCAGUAGGGAAUCGUGGGCAAUGGACGAAAGUCUGACCGAGCAACGCCGCGUGAGUGAAGAAGGUUUUCGGAUCGUAAAACUCUGUUGUUAGAGAAGCGGUAUCUAACCAGAAAGCACCGGCUAACUCCGUGCCAGCAGCCGCGGUAAUUC